This 288-nucleotide long non-coding RNA is filed under the name Papio anubis (olive baboon). RNAcentral describes it as "lncRNA (ENSPANG00000040028.1)". The record is from RNAcentral. Lineage: Eukaryota; Metazoa; Chordata; Mammalia; Primates; Cercopithecidae.
CUCAUGUAUCACAUAAUUUACUGAUUUAACACAGAUGAUUCUUUUAAAGUAUAAGCAAACCAUAAAGCACAGUUAAUGUACUUUUAGAAAUGUUAUUAACUUAUUUUACACCCUUAUCAUUACAAUUUGAAUUUUAUACUGUUAGCAACAGAGAACCAUUGAACGAUGGAAGACCAAACUAAGAUAAUUGUGCUUUGGACAGAAAGAAGUGGGAGAAUUGAUAAGCAUUGUUGUGUUGAUUUUUCUGCUCUGCUGGUGGAAUUGGCAAUAUCGCCCUGCAUUUCUAAU